This 301-nucleotide ribosomal RNA is filed under the name uncultured bacterium. RNAcentral describes it as "partial 16S ribosomal RNA". It matches the Rfam family "Bacterial small subunit ribosomal RNA", at positions 509 to 807 of the family's 1533-position model. The record is from RNAcentral.
CAGCAGCCACGGGAAUACAGAGGGUGCGAGCGUUAAUCGGAUUUACUGGGCGUAAAGCGUGCGUAGGCGGCUAAUUGAGUCGGAUGUGAAAUCCCCGAGCUUAACUUGGGAAUUGCAUUCGAUACUGGUUAGCUAGAGUGUGGGAGAGGAUGGUAGAAUUCCAGGUGUAGCGGUGAAAUGCGUAGAGAUCUGGAGGAAUACCGAUGGCGAAGGCAGCCAUCUGGCCUAACACUGACGCUGAGGUACGAAAGCAUGGGGAGCAAACAGGAUUAGAUACCCCAGUAGUCCCUGUCUCUUAUAC